Molecule: long non-coding RNA, 517 nt
Organism: Monopterus albus (swamp eel)
Lineage: Eukaryota; Metazoa; Chordata; Actinopteri; Synbranchiformes; Synbranchidae
Exons: 4
Source: RefSeq, a predicted model, not a curated record
AAUCCGAGGGAGGCUGUCAGUGGGCCGCCAUGGUUCGACAAUACACAAACAGCGGGGGUUGUGGAUACAGGGACUGCCAGGGUACAAAGCAAGGUGUCGGUGGCCAACCAUGGGAAAAAGCUGUCAACAAGGUGGCUCAGCCGGCAGUGCCCGGGGUUCCCAUGGGGCCCGAGAUCUGCCUGAAGUGGAGAGUCAAGGACGCUGAGAGAUGACAAGGGACAGCUUGAGAAAUGGAGGACUCUUCACUGUCUGAGCAGACGCAAUGGGCCACAGUCAACAAGAUGAAUAGUUGGCCCGGGAUCAAAGGCAGACCCAAACCGGUCACUCUGGCCACCACAAAGGGGCGGUGAGUGCUGGCGAGGGGCCAGGUGCUGCACAUGGCCACAUAGCCAGGGACAAGCCGUGCAGAUGGGGCCUGCAGAGCCCUUGUUGCCUCCACCCCCACUCCUGUAUACAAGAGAGUGCGGAGUGCAGAGCGAGGCUGGCGGCCUGUGCAGCGGGAAGAGAACCAGCUGAG